Molecule: ribosomal RNA, 245 nt
Filed under: uncultured Armatimonadota bacterium
Lineage: Bacteria; Bacillati; Armatimonadota
Description: uncultured Armatimonadetes bacterium partial 16S ribosomal RNA
Rfam family: Bacterial small subunit ribosomal RNA
Source: RNAcentral
UACGUAGGGGGCGAGCGUUGUCCGAAUUUACUGGGCGUAAAGCGCGCGUAGGCGGAUCCUUAAGUUGUGGGUGAAAUUCCGGAGCUCAACUCCGGAACUGCCUGCAAAACUGGGGGUCUUGAGGUAUGGAGAGGGAAGUGGAAUUCCUGGUGUAGCGGUGAAAUGCGUAGAUAUCAGGAGGAACACCUGUGGCGAAGGCGGCUUCCUGGCCAUAUCCUGACGCUGAGGUGCGAAAGCCAGGGGAG